Long non-coding RNA from Equus asinus (donkey), 2168 nucleotides. Lineage: Eukaryota; Metazoa; Chordata; Mammalia; Perissodactyla; Equidae. The record is from Ensembl.
GUGGUGUCUCUGCCGGGUGAACAGACAGGUCCCAACAGCAGGCUGCUGACUGGUGGCUCCCUCCUGGGGACUACUCUCCCUGGCCUCUGGAGAAGAGAUGGAUGCAGGAGGGACAUGCAUCUGGGGAACCAGGAAAUGUCAGAGGUUACUUCCUGAGGAAGGAAGAGGCCCUUGAAGAACUGGAAUGAGGCCAUGUGGCUGACACAAGUGAGCAAGGACGUGAGGAAACUGAGGCUCGAGUGGUCAGCUAGUCCCGGUUACAUGCCUCUUAAGUGGCUGAGCUGGAGUUUGAACCUGGGGUGGUCCAUGUCGCAGAGCCCACACAGUGCAGUGACAAUAUCCUCCCUCCCAGAGGUGCAGAGUGGCCGGAGCCUCUCUGGGGAGCGAAGCAGAACAAGGCUGGAGACUCAGCUGUCUGAGGCAGCGGCUUUCAGAGCCAGGAAGCUUGGAAAAAUGAGGUGACAAAAGCAGCUGGCCAGCAAUUAGGGAGACUUCUAUACAAUCAGUAUCUCAACGUGAAGACUGCCGACCACCCGCUUAACCCCGGGACACCUGUUAACACGCAGAUUCCACAGCUUUACCCCACUUCUACUGCGUCUCGUCCUCUGGGAACCAGGCCUCCAGAUCACGUCAGGCCCGCGCACUCAGCCUGUACCCUAUACCUCGGGCUGGUGUGGGGACACGGAGCAGCUGCAGAGGAACCUCCUAGACUAUGCUGCUAUGGCUCUGCGGGCAGCUUUGCCUCAAACCUCAAAAUCAUGAUCCUCUUGGAGGUAGCAUCCCCAGGGACAGCGGCUUCUGCUCCGGGCUGUGUGAGCGCUGGGGGACCUUGGUUACGGACUCGCACUGGGUGUUUCUGGGGAGUUGUCAAUCAAGAUUCCUGGCCCCAGCCCUCAGCAUCAAGGAUAGGAAUAAGAAGGAUGCGUGAGGCCCAAGCAGAGAAAAUCCACUGAAAUUUGGAUGCUGGGAGGAAGAAGUUUUGUGAUAUUUUUAUCUUUUCUGUUGAUAUUGUUGGACAUCUGAAGCUGUGGCAGGAAUAGCUUUCUGUAGAAUGAAACCAAGCAGAGAGAAGAAAAGUCAAGAGACCAAUGAAGAGAGGUCUAUGGCAGUGGUUCUCAGCCUUGGUUGCACGUUGGAGUCACUGGGGAGCUUUAAAAACAACUGACGUCUGGGUCCAGCCCCAGUAAUUUUUAUUUGAUUGGUCUGAGUUGCAGCCUGGGCCUUGGGACUUUCAAAGCCCCCUGGAGGAUUCUUACGGGCAGCCAAGGAUGUGAACUGCUUGUCUAGCGACACCACAUCAGGUCCCCGAGGCCUUGGUUCCAGCAGCUCUUCCUAAUUCUGUAACCCAUCUUGGUGCCCUCAGUGUCAAUAACUUUCCUUUUUUUGCUUAAUUAAGAUUGAAUUGAAUUUCUGUCAUUUGCGGCCAAAAGAAAUCUAACCAAAAAACAAAGACUGUAAUCAUAGCUAACAUCUAUUGAGCAUCAGGGAUGUGCUGGGGAGUUUGAAGUGCUUUACUUAUAUGAUCUCAUUUAAUUUAAUCUUUACAACAUCCUCAGAGGUAGAAAACUAUUACUGUCUCCAUUUUACAGAUGAGCAAAUGAGACAUCAAAAGAUAAAGUGACUUGCCAAAAUUUACACAGCCUGUAAGCGCAGAGCUGGAAUGUGAACCAAGAAACUUCCUUAACCAUCUCACCUGAAGGUAGAACCAAGAGAGGAGGCCAAUUCCCUGCCUGAAGCUCAGAAAGGGGGUCUUCAAACAGCCAGAAUAUGAAUGCUUUUAUGAGGAAGAAGCUUUUGGCUGAAAUAACAGAAAACCCCAACCCCACCAGCUUGCACGAUUAUUUAACAUAUCAAGAGGAAGGGACAGGGGCUGUUCCCGGACUGGCUGGUUCAGUGGCUCAUUUUAAGUCAUCAGGUACCCGCCUCUUUCCACCUUUCUGCUCUUCCCUGCUCCAUGUCCUGGCCUCUUCCUCAGGCUGGCUCUCCUGAAGAGAGCAAGAAUGUUGCAGUCUCCCAGAUGUCAUAUCCUCAUAUAACAACCACGGGCAGAGAAAGGUAAUGUUUAUGCACCAGUGUCUCUUUUUAUCAGGUAGAAACACCUUGUGCCAAAGGCCUCCAGUAGAAUUCCCCUUGUGUUUCAUCACAGGAAGGGGGGAUGGGAGCAUCAG